Molecule: ribosomal RNA, 451 nt
Filed under: uncultured bacterium
Lineage: Bacteria
Description: bacterial SSU rRNA
Rfam family: Bacterial small subunit ribosomal RNA
Source: RNAcentral
AACGAACGCUGGCGGCAGGCCUAACACAUGCAAGUCGAACGGGUGUAGCAAUACAUCAGUGGCAGACGGGUGAGUAACGCGUGGGAAUCUCCCCAGAGGUACGGAACAACUCAGGGAAACUUGAGCUAAUACCGUAUGUGCCCGAGAGGGCAAAGAUUCAUCGCCUUUGGAUGAGCCCGCGUUGGAUUAGCUAGUUGGUGGGGUAACGGCCUACCAAGGCUACGAUCCAUAGCUGAUCUGAGAGGAUGAUCAGCCACACUGGGACUGAGACACGGCCCAGACUCCUACGGGAGGCAGCAGUGGGGAAUCUUGGACAAUGGGCGCAAGCCUGAUCCAGCCAUGCCGCGUGAGUGAAGAAGGCCUUAGGGUUGUAAAGCUCUUUUACCCGGGAAGAUAAUGACGGUACCGGAGAAUAAGCCCCGGCAAACUUCGUGCCAGCAGCCGCCGUAAU